GCAACACCUGCCCAGUGAACAUUAAACGGCCGCGGUACCCUAACCGUGCAAAGGUAGCAUAAUCAUUUGUCUACUAAUUAUAGACCUGUAUGAAAGGUAACAUGAGGGUCUAACUGUCUCUUAUAGUCCAUCAAUUAAACUGAUCUUCUAGUAAAAAAGCUAGAAUAAUAUCAUAAGACCAGAAGACCCUGUGAAACUUAAACUAAAAUAUUAAACCACGUAAUAACUACUUUCGGUUGGGGCGACCUUGGAACAAAAAAGAACUUCCAAACACAUAUAAAUAACCACAAUCACCUUCAGGCCAACAAGCCUAUAAUGACCCAGCAUAGCUGAUAAUUGAACCAAGCUACUCCAGGGAUAACAGCGCUAUCUUCUUCAAGAGCCCAUAUCAAAAAGAAGGUUUACGACCUCGAUGUUGGAUCAGGACAUCCUAAUGGUGCAACCGCUAUUAAGGGUUCGUUUGUUCAACGAUUAACAGUCCUACGUGAUCUGAGU
This 495-nucleotide ribosomal RNA is filed under the name Pseudorabdion longiceps. RNAcentral's name for it is "partial 16S ribosomal RNA". It matches the Rfam family "Bacterial large subunit ribosomal RNA", at positions 1852 to 2610 of the family's 2925-position model. The record is from RNAcentral. Lineage: Eukaryota; Metazoa; Chordata; Lepidosauria; Squamata; Calamariidae.